UAAAUGUGAAGACUCAUGAGCUCAUUGAGUCAACAACAACCUAGGUCACAACCGAGGCAGUCUUUUAUUUUAUAGUAUAAUUCAUUCUGUCAUAUAUCUGUGUAGCAAUGGUGGUCUUUCUUUGCAAGGAAGAAUAUGGUGUGCUCUUGGGCAAUGACUGGGCUGCAACUCAUGAAUUUGGCCACAACUUUUGUAUCUCAAAUGAAGGUGACGAUGACGAUGAUGAUAAUGGCGUCAUUGAUGUGGCCCCAGCGGCAUAGAAGAAUUUCGCAAAACAUGCAUAAAUGAGGAGGAUGAGGAGGGAUAUAGUAGUAGUCAGUGUAAGCUUCAUUCUGUAGUCUUGCUUAGUAAUUACAUUACAUUUGUGUUUACUCUUGGAAUAGGUUCUAGUGUUAUGCUUAAUUACGGUCACUAUAAAUUUGAGACAUAAUACAUGUUUUAUUAGUAAUUAAUGAUUAAUUCCACUCUCUCUCUCUCUCUCUCUCUCGGACCCAGUAAUUUUCUUGUCGAUCGUCUUUGACUCUAUUAUCUGAUCAUAGUUUUUUAUUUAUAAUAAUUUGAUGGCAAUUGGCAAUGUACUUGUAAUGGGGUGCAGGCAAAUUUGAUAAAUUUGACAUGACCCAAUUAUAAAAGGUUUCCUUUAAUAAACUUAUUAUGAUGAUCUAUACAAGAGUUUGCUAUGUGUACCUUCCAGUUCAUUUUUUCCUUGGCAGAAUCAUGGUUCAGGGAACACAUAAAUCAAGCUUAUAUAUAUGCAAAGAAGAAAUUAAAUUAGUGAGUUGAGUUUAUGACAAUUUCUUAACCAUCUUGUUUCCUAAUGAGGGAAGCCAAUGAUCCCCAUUCACCUUUUAAUUUAAUUAACUACAAAGGAAAAUCCUAUCAGAAAGAAGCUAGCUAGCUGAGCAAUUUUUACACUUUGCAUGGCAAUUUUACAUAAAAUAAUUCAAAUGUGUUUGAUCUAUCUUGAGAUUCAGAGUAUUCUCAUCAUAUAUGCCUUUUCUUAUCAGAUAAUUAAUUCAUUGUUUUCUGGAUUUUCUCCUCAUCAGCGCAUUACACCAAGCUAUAUGUAUUGCUUGAAAAAGUCAAAGAGACAUUAUAGAUAUUAUUUGACGUUAUAGAAAGCUUCCGUACGUUUCAGAAAAGGAUAUAUAUAUAUAUAUAUAUAUCAGAAGCAAAAGUGUCCACCGUCCACCAAAACAACAAAGUAACCAAGUUGCGGUUGUAGUAACAGUAAAUGUAACAAUAGAGCAUUCUAUUAUUACAUUAGUACAAAUGUACAACUAUAGUAUAAAAGAGGCAGUCUAUAGUAUUAAUAUACAACUAUAGACAAAAAAUAAAAUCAGACGAAGUGGUAUCAUGGGAGAGCCUUUUCAUGUUUGUUCGUUCCUUAAAAAUACAUAGCACUAUUUCAAUCUGUUUCUAAAUUUAUUAAUAUACUUAUAUAUCAUGAUUUCCAACCUCUCUUAUAAAAGCUAUCUGCCUUAAUUUCUUCAUUCACUUUGGAAUUGAGUCCACAUAAUUCUUCAACAAAUAUCUGCUCACAAUAAAUUGGAUUAAUAUGAAUAGUAAUUGUACGUCUUUCCUGUUUUACCAGCUUCUUCUCUGACUGUGAAACCAAACCAAAUUUGUCCAUAACAACAACCUUUUCAGGAACAUCAUCUUCCAUUUGCUUAUCUAUAAGCAAUGGCCUAGGUCAUGCUCAUGGUAGAUGGAAAGAAAAUCUAAAGAUAUAUAUAAGUAUAAUUUUUAGCCUUUUAUUUAGAUGUGGUGUAUCCGGAUGAUAAAAUUAAGAAAAUAGUGCUCAAUUGUUUAGAAACCCUGUUCAAUUUUUCACCUUUUAAUUACAAUCUUGUGCAUUGCACAACUAAAUUACUAGUUAAUUUUACAUAAUUUUUUCAAAAAAAUUUACUUAGUGUUGUUUAUUUUAUCAAUAUAUUUUUUGUUGAGUGAUGCAGUUAGUUUUAAAUAAAUCUAAACUUUUUAAAAAAAAAAUUGUCAAACAGUUUUAACUUAAAAGAAAUUUUAAAACAAAAAAGAUAAAAAAUUUCAUACAACUUUUACUUUAUUUUUAAACCUUAAUAUGAAUUAAAAAAAUGGAUCAAACAUAACGUCAUAACCUUGAUAUUAGUUAAGAUUUUGUUGAUUUUAAUUUAAAAGCUUUCACUUUUUUUUAAUCUAACAGAGUCCAACCAUUAUUAUUUUUUUAUUAAAUAAUCCAACCAUUAUUUUAAUGAUAGCAAAUAAACUAUCAAUAAAUGAUAUAAGCUUCGUUAUGCUAGUAGUAAUUUAAUUAAAUAUACGCCACAUGCAUUUAAAAUGGAUUUCUAAUAUUCAGUGAUAAUUUGUAAAAUCGUUGAAUUGAAGUUAAUAGUAUAAAAGAAUAUAUCAUAUGUUAGAGUGAAAUGCACCACUUCAUAAAAGGAAAAUAUUAAGAAUGAACGUGAAAGAAUAAAGAAAGUGAAAGCCUAAAGAAAUAGAUAAUUUUACAUUUAUAUAUAGAGAAGGAUAGUCUUGUUUGUUGUUGAGUGCUCUAAGGAGACUAAUUAAGAAAUGAAUAAAUAGAAACUUUUUAUUAAAAACUACAUUAGAAAUUAUGGUAAAAGAUAAUUAAUAACACUUCUCAGAAAAAAAAUGUUUUUUAACUAUUGUUAACAUUUUCCAAUUUAAUUAUCCAUGUGAAAGGAAAAUUUAGAUUAUGUGAUAAGUGUCAAGGAAUCUAGCUCACUUAAUUGAGCAAAGAUGUGUAAAUUGUUGUAAACUCCCUCACACUACUGUCUUCGAUUUCUACAAACCAAAAAAAUAUUGUGGUAAGUUAUGUUGGGAGUUAUUUCUUUUACACUAUGUGACACGGAUUAGAAGAAUAACCAUGACAAAUACGCAUGUCAUGACAAACAUGACAAGCCAUGUUAAGCAAGAAGUCUUAGAACUCUCCGAGUAGAUUGCCGUUGCUCGCACAUUGGCACGACCGGUGCUUGCCAAGCUAUGUUCAAUAGCCUUCUCUGUAGAAUCAAGUAUCUGCAAAGCAAGCCACCCACAACCAAUUCAUAUAACCGUUUAGCAGUAAGAGAAGCACGAUUGAAUGAAAAUAUGAGAUUCGAGACCUUUUCAGUAUUUUGCAGGGACUGGCUCAUCGUGAGACUACUCUCUUUGAGUUGUUUUGCCAAAACCACCAUUUCAUCAGUCAAAUCUUCUUGAAGCUUUCUAAAUUAAAAAUUGAAUAAAACAGAAAAACUAUGAAAACACAAGUGAUGCACAAUAAAUGCAGAGUAUCUAGAGAGCACAGUAAAUGACUAUAUAAACUUUUGAUCUAAUACAUUAGCACACAUGAUUUAAUGGAAAUUAUUGGUAUCAUAAUGAUAAUGAUUCAGAAACAUUCUCAGGACUAGUCAAUGAAGACGAUAUAAACUCUCAAAUAUAUAUAAUCCUAAUCCUAUUAAGCUAGUAACAUAUGGUAACUGGUAAGUUACUAACAAUGUAUCAGCGAUUGACCUUAAUAUAUCGGUGCUUGUCCUGAAGAAAAAUAUACUUUGUUGUUCUAGACAAAUUGACAUAUGAACAUAAGGUUUGUAGCUUGUAGGUUAUGGACGCUCCACAAAAGCAGUACAGGGUCUAUUGAUCCACCAUUACAUAAACUUCAAAUAACAACUCAAAUAAACAGUACCUGUGCUUUUCAAUGUGUGCAUGUGCUGUAGCAUCCAGUUUAAUAGGUGAUGUGUGGUCAGUCUCAGCAGGCUCAUGCGCUCUAUCUUCUGUACUUGAGGCAGGUCUGUCCAAUGAAUCAGAUGAGCAACAGUAAAACAGCCUACAAAAUACACAUAGUAGUAAGAAAGGCUAACUUUAGCUUACACAGGCCUUCUUCUCAAUCCAGAAGAAAGGAGUAUCUGCUUUUUUUCCUCAAUUUCAGAAUGUUUUUCUUUAACAAAAUUCCUUUCGAAGUCCUUCCCGGGUACUUGUGUGUCAAUCUGGGUUAAAAAAUUGUGGUUAAAUGAUUGUGCUUAUUAGGCCAAAACUAAAAAUACAUAAAAUAAAAAAACCAAAAAGGAGCUUACUUUCAUGAUGCAUUCCAUAUUUCCAACAAAGUCAACAAAAUAAAGCCAUCAAAUGUAACACUUUUCACAUGCUACAGUGAACAUAUUAUAAACCACUAGCUGAGAGUUUGGACAGUUUGCAUGAUGUCUUGGGUUAAUAUCUUACAGUCAUUGUAUAACAAAAAUAUAGUGAAUGUAAUAUGAUUUUCUCCAUUGUGUAAUAAAUCCUAAAAGUUUGGUUAAUUAAGUGGGAAAAAGAGGAUGGAGUUAAAAAAUUAAAAUGAUUUUUAACAAAAGUUAAGAUCCAAAGUGAAAAUGUGUUAAGAACCCACAAGCAGCAGAGCUGAGAAAUAGAGGAAACGAGUAACAAAUACACACCACAUGAUUAACCAAUUUGGAAGCAAUGGCUUCAAUCUUCUCUGAAUAAUCAUUCAACAUAGCCUUUGAAAUCCUGCAUAACCAGAGCAGAGCAUUUAUACACACAAAUGAAUGCACUUAUGUAGUUUCAACUAUAAUUCCAUGACACCUAUGUGUAUCAGAUGGUAAUAGGUAAAUAAAGAGACGCACAAUACCUGGGUAAGCCUUCCAGUGUCCUUUCUUCAGCCAAUUGUUCUAAUUGUUCACGCAAAGUAGCAACAUACUACAAAAUCCAAAAAUCAACAAAUGAUUAAGUGUGUGUUUUUCCAGAGUUAACAGAUGACUAAAUUAAUAAAACAUAUAUUUCAAUAAAAUUAGAAAAGGUUCAUCUUCAGACUUACAUGCACAAGUUUUGCUUGAUUUUGCUGUUGAGGAGCAGCUGCAAGCAACCUCCUCAAGUUUACUUCUGUUUUACUGAUUCCCAUACCUACACUGUUCAGUAAUUAUACAAAUUAUCUAUAAAUCAAACUUCAUCAAGCAAAGAAAUAGACGUAUUUGUGUAUCAAACUGAAAAAAUAAUAAUCAGAAAAGCUUAUCCGAUCAAACUACCCCGGAUUAUAAACACAAUCAAACACCCUAAAUAUCAAUCAAACUAUUUCAACCAGUUUAAAGUUGAAAAAAUUACCAGAAUUCAGCAAUUACAAAAAAUACCAUACCAGAAUCAUGGCCAAUUUUAAUCGAAAAUUGAGGACCUACAACAUACUUUUUUUACCGGCAAUAAUAAUAACAAUUAAGUUCCAAUUCAGAACGUGAAAAACAGUUUAGAUAUUGUUCUCGACUAAAUUUACCAGUGAAUAUCUUGGCAUUCUAUUUCCUAUCCAUGUAGAUGUUUCCGAAGUGAAAAAUUGCAAAUUCCAACACUAUACUAUAGAGUAAAUGCUAACAUAUAUCAAACGGAGUUUCCAGAACCGUUUCUAAAACUUCAACCCCUUACAGCGGAGAAAGAAAAGUGUUUUAAUUACCUGAAGAGAAGAAAUCAGAGGUAGAAACAGAUCGUGUCUCCGGCGUCGAACGGUGGUUUCCGCCGCCGUUGCUUCAAUGCUAUUAUGAUGCCUCGUACAUAACGGAGUGUGCUUCAGUUCAGAUCCAAAAUGAGAACGCAACCCGAAUCCGAAAAACUGAACUGCUUCUUUCUAUGGGCCUGGAUUGAUAGUAGGUGAAUAACGCAUUCAAGGCCCAAUGUCUAGCACCGUUUUCCUUUUUUUUUUAUCACUUUUUUAGUUUUUUCUUUGGAAGACGUUUGCUAGGAAAUAAUUUUUUUUUUCUCGUGCAUAGGUUUAAAAAACUUAAUUUUUUUAUCUUUGGUAUCAAUUUUUAAAAAAUAAUAUUUCUAAAAAAAUAUAUUUUCUGAAAUUUUUUUUAAUUAGUUUCUCACUAAAACUUUUUCAUGGAAGAGAAAAAAAAUCUUACUUUCUCAAAUAAUUUUUUCUACUAUCACAAAAAUAUCAUCUUACUUUUUAUUAAAUUAUUUAAUAUGAUAAAAAUAUUACAUAAUUUUUUCAUUCUUAAUAAACUUAUCUUAAAAUUAUAACGAUUAACCAAAUAAAUUUUAUUAAUUCUCAAUAAAUAUGAUUUUCAGAAUUCAUGAAAAAAACUUUUCUCCUACCCAUGGUCUCCUUAAUGACACCACUCAUUGUUUUUGAGAAUUUAAUUUAAUUUUAAAAGUGAUAUUUUUAAAAAGAUCAAAAGCAAUGAUUUUAUAUUUUGAGAGAUGAAAAAAAAUACAUGAUCAAAAUCAAACUUUGCUUAUUUUAAUGAAAGCUAAAAAUAUAUUUAACUCAAUUAUGAAUAAAAUUCCUACUUCUUAGUAGAUCUUAUCUCACGUUUGUUUCAUGAACUUGUCCUUCCGUUGAAUUUGAGUUUUACUUUAAUCGCAAUCGGACAACAUUAUUUGUGGUGGUUUUUCUACCAUGGUCUUUAUUAAUAAUUUAAUAUGCGCGUACACACCUUAGCGUGAAUGUGGUGAGUAACACGAGAGUUCAUAUGAUAAGAAUGCUUGAAGGUUACAUUCAUCUUAUUUUUAUAUUAUACCAUUAUUCUUUACAUUUUUUUUCCUUUCGAAUAUAAACAUUUUAACAGGGUUAAAAAAAUUUACUUGAGGAUUCUGCUACACUAAAGACUAAAGUAAAGUUGGGUGAUUUUGAUUUGAGGGUAAAAUGACUUUCGAGUUGGAACUUGGCCUUGGGCUGAUACAUUGAUAAAACUCAAUGUGUAUUUAAUUAAACUUAUUUUUAAAAAUAUAAUUUACUUUAUUGAUUUUUGAAAAAUAAAUAAGUAUUUAUAUAAAAUUUAAAUGUGAAGAACAUCAAGUAGAUUAACUAGUUUGAAGUUAUUUCAACUUAAUUAGAAGUAUCGAGUUUUAAUCCUAAAAAUAUUAUGGCAAAAUUGUAAAUUUGGUCCCUUAGUUUAUUUCUAGUUUCAGAUUUGGUUCCCAUCAAUCUAAUUCACGAAUUCCGUCCUCCUAUUUUAUAAAAUUGUGCAAUGUUGGUCUACUAUGUCAUAAUUGGAUGGUGGCCGUUAACAAAUGAUGUUGACUGCCAUGUGUCAUGUUCUUAUUGGAUGAUGACCGUCACAUGUCAUUUUCUGAUUGGAUGUCAAUUCCGUGAAAGAUGAAAUGCAUUGUUGUUUUCAUUGACCAAUCAAAACAUGACACGUGACCGUUAUAGACACGUAAGAACGUGACACGUGACCGUCAUCAUAACUUGUUAAUGUUCAAUGUCCAAUUAUGGUCUGGGGAUCAACAAUGCACGAUUUUAGAAAAUAGGGAGACCAAAUUCGUAAAUUAAAUUAUUGGGGGACCAAAUUCGAAACUGAAGAUAAACUAGGGAACCAAAAAUAUAAUUUUAUCAAAUAUUAUUGCAUUAAAUAGUUGGAAGAAUAAUUUUGUAGUUCAUAAUACUUGUAGUUAGUUCAAACAUAAUUAUAUGAGGUGAAAGAUACAUAUGAUUCAGAAAGGAAAAAAAAAAUUAAGUGCUAAGGAUGAAAGGAGUGAUUUGCAUGUAUGUAUCCAAAAAAGGCCAAAUAACAUUGAAUGUCGGCAUUAAAUUGGUAUCUGAUUUUGAAACAUAAGUUGGUAAUAGCUGAACUGGAGUGUGAAUAGAGAUUAAAACAAUUCCUAUCCCAUUUGGUGCGGUGAAGAAGUUGGCUGGUUGCUUUGCUAUGAACUAUCUUUGUCAUUUGGACCUCAAGGUUUCACCCCCGCUUUCUGUCUCACCAAUUUUAGGUUAUGCAACUUUACUAAAUCUCCAUUAUCUCAAGUCUGAACAUAAAAUAUUUAACAUUGUGUAUACUUUUUAAUGAAGAAAAUUUUGAUUGUAUCUUAAUUUUAUCCUUAUUCUCUGGAUCACUAAUUAUAUUGAUAGUGAUUUGGUGUGAUCAUUAGUUUUAUUAGUAGAGUAUCUAGAAAAAUUAUUAAUUACAACAAAUUAUAAAAACAAAUCAUUGGUAUUACUUAAUAAUAUCAAGAAUAGAGGUAUAAUUAAAAUACAAUUAGAAUUUUCUUCAUUAGUUUUCAAAACAUUUUCUCAAAAUUAACAAAAUAAUAAAAGUUGGCGCAAAUUAAUGUAGAAAAAAAUGUUUUUGCUUGUGUACUACUCUUUCAGUCCCAUAAUAAUCAUGUAAGAAGAAAAAAUUUAUCCCAAUAUACUAGUUAUCAUUUUAGUUUUUUAAUAUAACACUAAUUAUUUUUUUCGCUUAUAUCCAUUAUAAUAUUAAAGAUAUGGUUACAAUAACUAAAAAUGAAUUAAUGGUGACGAGCUUAAUUUUAUAAAAUUAUUAUUCUCUUUCAUUCAUUUAUUAGUGUGUCUUAAUGUGUAAAUUAAUACAAGAUGACAAUUAUAUUGGGACAGAGGGAGUAAUAAUGUGAUGAUGGUAAGUUUUUUAUUGGAAUUAGCAUAAAAGAAUAAAGAAAAUUGAAACUUUAAAAUGUGAAACAUAAUUAGAUGUAAAAAAAAUAACACAAAUUCUUAAAUGUGUGUAUAAAAAUAAGAAAACAUUCAGCCUUUCCUAAGGCUACUUGUCAACAAUGUAGCAAUGAUGAAGAAACUUCUCUUCAUUAAUAAAAUAUAUUCUUAACCAUUGAUAAUGUUUUUAUUCCUUUAAAUAUUAUAUAUUUCAAACAAAUCGUAAGAAACUUUGAGUUAAUUAAUUAAGUGGUUAAAAAUGACAUAAUAAAUAAAUAAAUAAAAAGAAACUUAGAGACGUAAUGAUUUUGUCUCUAAUAUUUUAGUUAUUUUUAACAAAUAAGACUCAAAAUGCAUAUUCAGAGACAAAUUUAGAGACGGACAUUAUUGUCACAGACAAAUUCUAUCUCCGAAAUUCAUCCCUAAGACUAACUAGACAAUAUAGAAACAGAUCUAGAGACAAACAAAUCAAAGACGGAUCAUUCCAUAUCUGAAUAUCGUCUUUGAAAUACCAAUUUUUCCUUUUCCAGUUUUCGUUUUUGUCAUAGAUGGACUAUUUUUUGUUGUUAUUUUAGACUUUUUUUUAGUUAUGCUAACGACCCGGUAAAACUAAAUAAUUACAUCAUUCACAUGCAAGAUAUUAUCCAAAGUUCAAAGUUAAAGUUAUACACUUUGAUCAUGAGCUUAACUCAAGGCUCACCAAAUUUCUGUAGAAAUACUUGAUUUUGCUUUCAAUGUUAUCCUAUUUUCUCCCAUGAAAGGAUACUUUCUAGUGCAUAAUGAAUCAUAUAUAAAAAUCUUGUAUUAAGUACAAUCUUAAGUAUUCAAUUCUCAUGUUCACAUGUAUAGAAAAUCUCUUGAACGGAUUCGGAGAUUGAUCUCUAACUUUUAGCCACAAAAUAUUCAAGUUCACACACACACACACAAAUAAGUAACAUAGUAUAUGGUCAUGUUUAAAAAAAUAUACAAUUUUAUCAAAUACUACUAUAAUUAAUAGAUUCAUCAAGCAAUUAUGAUAUUUUUUAAAAAAAAAUAUAUUUCUCUUGUUAUGUCAUACUAGUUAAGAUCAAGAGAGAAUUCAGAUUCUGCAUUAUCCUUUUCCACUGGUUUGAACUAAUAAUGAAAAUUUCUGAGUUGGCCGGUAUUCUUCUUGGACCAUUUUUGUAACCAAAAAGUAAGUUACAAAAAUGAACUCAUGAGACAGGUUGUAUAUUUGCUAGAUAGUUGAUGCCUUUGAUUAGUAGAUGUCUAGAUGAGCAUGAAACGAGUACCACAUCUUUUUCCUUUCUUUUUCGGACAAUGCCUCUCAGCCUUAUCAAUCUCCAAUAAUAUACACCUUGUCCCGCCACGUGUCGACAUCACAAUGCACUCUCAGAUAGCAUCCACCGUGUGCAUGGAGAAUUGGAUUUUCCUUGUUUGCGUUUCAUAUUGAACCGCAAAACCUUUGCAGACCCCGUUUUCAACUGGUCUUGUCGUGUUCCUUCAUUUGACGCCACAUGUGCUGCUAGCCCUGUUUUUCUCGCUGUUGACAAGCACAAUACUAUUUAGUACCAUUUUUUUCAUGCCAUAUUUGCUCUCUUCUCUCUUUGUACUAACUUGGACAUGUCAGUGUCACUGCCCUUCUUCUUGUUAAAAACUGUGCCACAACCUCUGUCACCAAACUCCUCAAGCUGAAGCUAGCACAUGUUCAGAGGCAGUUUUGUUUCAUCAGUCUGUAGUUAGCAUCUAUUUUUAUAGCUUCUAUUCAACAAGUUGCAAAAAAACAGCCUUUGCCUUAACCAAAAGAAAAACUCUUUUUUACCUUAACUCAGGUGGGGUUCUUCUUUGUUUUUGAAGUGUAUGUGUUUAAAUCUUCUAGUGUUAAUACUUAGUGCAGCUCUCCAACUGACUCUGUCAAUUUUUUCCCACUUUGUUGGGAUUAAAAGUUUGGUAUUUUUUUCAGUUCUAGUAUUUCUUUAUUGUUUUGUUCUUUUUCUGUUCUUGUUAAUCAAUUUUUGCAUGUACUUUCAACUGUAACCAUAGGAAAAUCAUUUUCCUUUCCGGGUCUCUUGGAGUUUAAACAUUCCUUGCUUUAUUUAUUCACACAAUUGAUCACAAUGGCAAAAUCCACCAUUUCAUUGGUUUUCCCCCCCUUGGCAAGUCAAGUUGCAUACACUUGACCCGAAGGCUUUCUUUCUUUAUUAUUUUUUUCUUUCACUUCAAAAAUUCUAUAUGCUUAUUUGAUUACUCAAUUAGCUGAACUAUGCAGAUUAUUCUAUUUUACUCUGCUUAUAAAGUCUGCUCUAAGUCUAAAGUUCUCUCUCCUCUCUUGUUCAAACAGACAACUGGUUUGGUGAACCAUGAAGAACAGUAUUCCUGGUUUGGAUUUUGAGAGUGAUGCAUGUCUCACCAACCAAAGAAAGCUCAUAGGGUGUGUGUUAUCUAUCUCUGUCAAAGCAGGAUAUAUAAUGUCCCUAUUAACUUUCCCUUGAUUAUAAUUCUCUAUGUGGUCAAUUAUACAGGCCGGACCAAGAACUUGUAGAGCUCCUAUGGCAAAAUGGGCAAGUAGUGAGGCACAACCAAACACAUAGGAAGCCACUUGGGAAUUCAUCUAACUUGAGACAGGCGCAGAAAACUGAUCAUUCAACAUUAAGGUCUAGUGGUCCCUAUGGAAACUCAAGCAACUUGGAUCAAGAAGAGGCCACCCCAUGGAUCCAAUUCCCACUUGAGGACCCAUUGGAACAAGACUUUUGUUCAAACCUUUUAUCUGAACUACCACCAACUUGUGAAUUUGAAUCUUACAAGCCAAUCAAGCAAUUGGAAGAGGACAAGUUUACCAAUUUUUUUGCUUCUAGUACCCCCCAUCAUCCUACUACUUCAAGUUCAAAACCACUACCACCUAACAUGACAUCCUCAUGGGUUCAACGAAUCCAAGGGAAUCCUAAUCCCAUGCCUGCUCCAAGAUUUCAUGUUCCUGAUUCAUCCCAGAAAGACAAUGACUUAGGUGCAUCACGAAAGGUUCUAAAUUUUCCUCACUUUUCAACACCCCGUAAUAAUGUUUCUUCAGCACCUGGUAGUACACAGUUUAGGGAAAAAACUACUGCUAACUUGUCACAAAGUGAGGCUAGAGAGUACUCAGUGAUCACAGUUGGUUCAAGUCACUGUGGCAGCAGUCAUAUCCCUCAGGAGAAAGAUGUAAGCAGGGUUUCAAGCAGUGCUGUUUGGGCUACUAAUAAUAAUAAUAGUUUAUCUGCUGAGCCUGAAGCUGUCAGAGAUUGUGUCCAGAGACCAAUUUGUCCUAGGAGUGACAAAGGAAAAUCAGAGAUGAUUGAACCAACUGUGACUUCAUCUUCUGGUGGCUCAGGCAGUACCGGUAUUGGAAGAACUUGUUCCCUAUCAACAAGAGAUCAUGGCCAAAAGAGAAAAGGGACAGAAGAAGAAGCAUCUGAGGAACAAAGUGAGGUCAUGCUCUUCCUCUUUCCAUUUACCUUCAUGCAUGCUUGCUUUUUUCUUUUUGCCUGAUGGCCUCGGAAGAUUUAGUCAAAUAUUGAAUUGAAUGACAUGUGUGAUCCAUGUAACUCUUCUCAUUUAGAAGAUCAAGCUUUUGUUGUUGCACCAACAUUACAUUAGUCCGAGAGGAAUUAGAUUUGAAUUUCUUUCUCAUGUUCCAGUCUUGUAAAUAAAAAAAUGAAUAGUUAAAACUAAAGAUUCCACCAAAAAUGAUAAGUCAGAUUUUCUGAUAAAAACUAAUCAAAGUAAAACUAUCAUAAAAGACAUGAUAACUCAAAAAAAGACUUCGUUGUUGGCAUUAUUGUAGGCUGAUGAGAUGUGUCUACAUGUGUAAUAGGCCACAGAACUUAAAUCAGCUGAUGGAAACAAGGCUUCUCAGCGGACGGGGUCUUCCAAAAGGAACCGUGCAGCUGAAGUGCAUAAUCAAUCAGAAAGGGUGAGCGCAUGGUAUUUUUCUUGUAAUUAAUUUUGUGAUUUGUGUUGUGUCAACUUAAUUAACUCUUAUUACCGGUGUUAUUUUACUAAUGCAGAGAAGAAGAGAUAGGAUCAACGAGAAGAUGAGGACAUUGCAGCAACUGAUACCUAACAGUAACAAGGUUCGUUAUCAUAUAAUGCUUGUUGACUUGUCACUACGUUAACUUUUUCUGUAGAGAUGCAUGCAUCUAGACCGAAAACGAUGCGUGAACAUUUAUACGCUAAUAGACAGCUAGAGAUAGAUAGAAAUGGAAGAGAAAAAGUAUAAAUAUAAUAAAUAAUGCGAUUGAUGAGAAAAAAAAUACCAAAAAAUAAAGAGCAUAAAUUAGAUAUACUGUGUAGGUGUUUAUGUAUUAUUAUUUUACUAUGUAUUUUUACUCUGUGUAGACUCGGAUGAUUGGUAAGGUUAAAAGUGGUAUUACACUACACAUUUUUUUGUGUUUUGAAUGAUUCUACUUUUUCAUAAGAUUCAAUCAUGGGUGGUGUAAAAUAACUAUGGGUUGUACGUGCAGACAGAUAAAGCAUCAAUGUUAGAAGAGGCAAUCGAAUACUUGAAAUCGCUUCAGUUUCAGCUUCAGGUACAACUUACACAUACACAUGCAUGCAUGUGAUGAUAUAUUCUAACACUAUAUAGUAAUAUGUGACAAAUUUUUGUUGUUGGUGAUAGGUAAUGUGGAUGGGGUCUGGCAUGACACCAGUGAUGUUCCCAGGAAUUCAGCACUAUAUGUCACAAAUGGGUAUGGGAAUGGGUGCACCUUCCUUGCCUUCCAUUUACAACCCGAUGCAAUUGCCAAAAGUGCCACAUGAUCAAGCCAUGUCUGUGCCUCAGAUGCCAAACCAGAAUUUAAUGUGCCAAAAUCAAGUUUUGGGUGCCUUUAAUUACCAAACCCACAUGCAAAACCCUUGCCUUCCAGAACAAUAUGCACCUUACAUGGGUUACCAUUUUAUGCGAAGUGCCUCUCAGGUAAUUUAAUUGGGUUCUUUCAAGUGAAAAAAUUUCAUUCUUAUUUGCUUUACUUAAUCAUUUGAUAUUUACGUGUGCACCGACUUUUUUGUUUUAAUUUUUUAAGAAGAAAAUUUAUAUUCUAACAAUGAAAAUGCAAAAUAAUUUUAUAUUAUUAUCUAAUUAUAAAUUAUUAUUAUCAUAUACAAUAAAUAAAUUUGAUAAUUUUAGACAUUUGUGAUAUGAUGAGAUGUUAUACCGUCACUACGUACAUGACUUAAAACUUUAUAUGAACGUUUUUAUAUUUUAAUAAUCACCUUUGGUAGUUAAUUUUCUUUGUUUGGUUUUAUUUUGCAGCCUAUGAAUGUGUUCAGAUAUGGUUCCCAAGCAGUGCAACAUAGUCAAACAAUGAUUGCACCAGGCAAUAAUAGCAGCGGACCCAUGAGUGGAACAGCUAAUAUUGAUGAUGCUGUUAGUGGCAAAGCAGGUAAGGGCACUAGAUACAUCCAACUUUUUUUGAAUUUUUAUUCCUUUUUAAAAAGAAAUUUGCUUGGUUAAUUACAUUUUAAGAAAUCUUAAAAAAACUAAGUAACUUAAGUAUUAUAAAAUAACAAAUAAUAAAGAAAAUUAAGUGAAAGCACUUUUCACAAAACAAAGGUUUAUUUUUAUUCUAUUUUCAUGUUCUCUCUCCUUUCUUUCUCUUGCUUUCUUUUUUUCUUUUUCUUUCUCUACUUUGUGUUUUAUCCGAUACGAUACCUUCUCUCUUCUUUCUCUUUAUAAUCUCUUUUAAACUUAAAAAAGAAACUGAAAAUUGUUAAAUAGUUUAUACUUUAUUUUUAAAUAAUUUAUAAAAUAUCUUUAAAAGAAUUAAUCAGACGCAUCUUUCAAAUUUAUAGUUUCUAUGCCUUACAACAUUAAGAAUAAAAGUAAAAAAAAAUGUUUUUAACAUGUUAAAUUUUAGCCGGUAUUUGAUAAGGGAGAAAUUCUUUGGUAUCCGAAAAUCAUGAUUCAUUGGAAUCAUAUUUUCUGAAAAUGAGUAAAAUUUAUUUGAUUGAUUAUUAGAAACAUUUAGAUAAAUUUCUUAAAAAUUCAAGAGUUAUAUAAUAUUUAUAUCAGUUAUUUUAAUUAUUUAUUACAUUAAUAAGAAUAAUAUGAUAUUUUUAUCAUAGUAAAAAAAAAUAAACUUGAGAAAAACAUGAUUCUCACCUUCUUAUAUAAAAAUUUUCUUUGAAAAUUUGUUAAAAAACAUUUCCAACAAAUAUUAUUUUCUAAAAAUCUUUUUUUUAAAACAGAUAUUAAACAUGGGAAAUUAAGAUUUCUAACCCAAAAUUUUCAAGAAAUUCAAAACUUAUGUCUCCUUAUAAUUUUUUUAAUGUAAGUUUUAAUCUUCAAAGAUUUUAAAUAUUUUAACCCUAAUCUGUUUCACUAUUUACUAAUUAAUAACGUAAUAUACAUUUAAAUAUUUCAUGUUACAUGUCAUUUUAUAGUCACUGACUUCAGAUAAUUAAAUCUAUGUCCUGUCACUAUUAAAUAGUGACAAAUAAUUGCUAAAAUUUAAAAAUUUAUGAGAGCUAAAAUAAAAGAAAAAUUGAAAAAGCUAAUUGCCUCCACUGAGUUAUCCUCCUUCUCCACUAAUUACUUCCUUUUCACUUUCCAGGUUCUUCCACCUUUAACUGAAUAGUGGAUAGCAAUACCUUAAAAUUACCCAAUUGAGGGAAUUAGCUAAUGGAGGACGUCAAUCCCACAAGUUCCAAUUUUAUGUAGUUUGGAGUUCCUGCUAUUUAUAUCCAAUUUAAAGUUUGUUGUUUAACAUAUCAGGCAAGUCCUUGAUUGUGGGUCAGGCAUGUAAUCAGCUCCUAUAUGGAACCCAUCAGGUUCAGGCAUUUCAUGUAUUGUUUAUAUGAGUUAAUAACGUGCUAAUUUGUACUUCUAUCUGAACUUACGAUAACAGUUAUUAUAUUUUACUAUCAAUACCAUAGACUAGGGAAUUAAAGCUUCAAAUUCUUACGCUCGUUGUCUUUUACCUUAGCUGGAUGGUUCAUAUCCAUAUUAAAGUCCACACCUUAUUUUUUUUUAUCAACUGAUGACAAAUUCCACACCUUAUUUUUAAUUCUCAUUAAAUUGUGAUAAUACUCCUCUUUUUUCUUAUGAAGUCACUUUUUUUUUAUGCUGUGACGUGUGUUAUGAGCUUUUUAUAUCAAAUAAAAAUAAUUUAUUUCUUAAUUAAUUAUUUAAAUGAGAGAUUUUUCCUUUACAUAAUUUCAUUCAAAAUACUUCAAUUUUUCAACCAACAUUAAAUAUAUUAGAAUGCUUGCAGUCACUAUUGAAAUAAAAUUUUAUUAAUUAGAAUAUACUGUUUGACAUUUUGAAAGGUUUAAAUAUGUAUAUAUUACUAAAGCUUUGAUUUUUAUUGGUGCUAAACAACAUUAUGUACUCCAUGCAAUCCACCUUACCUAGUGUAAUGACCCUUUAUUAAUAAUAUCAAUAGCGUCGUUAAUAUUUUUUUUCUCUUGUAAGAAAAAUUAUACAGUAAUACACAAAAAGUUAAAAUGGAUCAUAACUGAAUAUGAAAAUAUCUAAAAUUAUAUCGGUAUGACACUGGUUAUAUAUGGAUCUAAAAAAUAAUUUAUAUAAACAACCCAAAAGAUACUUGAAAAAGAAACAGUAUAAGAUAUUUUUUCAGAAAAAGAAAAAAAACUAUAGAUUUUUAUUAACAAUAAUAAGUUUAUGCAAAUAGAUAAAUAAUAAAAGUGAGGACAUGACACGCAUGAUGCAAACUUUAUACAAUUUAAUUUAAUCAGAUAACUAAUUUAAAAUUACUUAUAAGUAAUGGUACCAAUAACUUAAAAUUACUUAAACUGAAUAUAUCAUAAAUUUAAUACUGAGAAUUAUUUAUUUACUCAGCAUCAGAUACUCGUACUAAAACCGCAAAUAACUAAAACAUUUUUCAUUAUUAUUUUUAACAUUUAAAAUUGAUUAAUGAAAAAAAAACUCGAUACUCAUCUUAAUAUCAUCUUUUCGUUCUUCUUUUUUUCACUCAUUAUUUUUCAUUCGUAGACAAAAUAUCCCAAGUCACUUUGCCUGUUUGGAAUCUUUGAGUUCGUGAUAUGACAUUUAAUUUAAACCUUAAUCCAUAUCCAAUUAAUAAUCCAUAGUUAAAGUAAACAGCGGUUUAAGUUUAUUUUAAAACCGGAAAUUCGUUCUACAAUUUUUUUUUAACAAGUCUCCCUGCUUAUAUUGUACUUGAAGUGCACAAUAUGCCAUCAAAUCCCACUGCCAUAUGUUUUUAUUAUAUUCUCCAUUUCAAUCCUAAUCACUUGAUAGCAUUAUCACAUCUGUCCCCAUCAUCUUUCCCCACGAAAGGCGUAGACCCUCCAAUUUUUUGUUCAAACAGUGUCAACUUUAGGAUAAGUUCAUGAAUCAUGAUUUUUUUUUUAAAAGAAGAAUUGUCCUUAAUGUUCUGUUUGGAGAUUGAAACAAAAUUUAGAGAAAAAGAACAUAAAAUAAAGAGAAGAGAAAAAGAUGAAGAAAAAAUAAUUUUGUUGCUUAAUUAAAAAGAAAAAUAAUAGAAAGAAAAUGUAAGUAGUAAAAUAACUUUUAUAUCCUUAAUUAAUUUAAAUAUAAUGGUGAAUGUGUAAGUAAAUAAAUGGGUAACUAUAUUAUUAUUUUUUUUUUAAAAAUUAAAUAUGUUUUUAUUUUCUUAAAUUUAGACUACUUUUAUUUUUUAUCUCUCAAAUUUAAAUUUAUUUUUUAGUUCCUCCAUUUUUAAAAAAAGUAUUAUUUUAUUCUCUUCUACAAUAAAAAUCAUUACAAAUUACGUAUCUAAACGUCAAAAAUUAAUCAAGAGAAAAAUAAAAAUAAAGAACAAACUAAAAGUGACCCAAGUCUCUUAUUCAUAAAUUUAGGAGAAUUGUAUAAUAUUUGAAAAUAAUAAUGGAAGGUUGACAAAAGAUAACCAAUUAAAAAAUUAUUUAUCUGAAAUGAAAAAAUGUAUUUUCUUUUCUCAUUUCUCUCUCAACUCUGUUCUAAACAUAUCAUUAGUAGACUUUGGGAUUCAGCUAGCUGCAAACAAAAAAUGUGAUGUCGGUAAUUUUUGCUGUAUUUGAUAUUUAAUGGAUUUGAGUGGUUGGCUUGGUUGCCGAUUGGUCAAGGAACUGUGGGGUAACUCCUUGCUCACAAUGUGACAUCUCUAAAUUUUGUUGAUGAACCUUCAUUCUUCUUCUUAUAUUCUUAUUAUUAUAUGUAUAUUAAUUAAUAAAAAGACACAUAUAUAUAUAUAUAUAAUUAUUUUUUCUUAAAUGUAAGAAAAUUUUAAUUAUUUUUAUCUUUUAUUAUUUUUAAAAUAUUCCUCAUUUAAUUAAAAUAUUAGUUUUCAUGACUUUUUUUAUUCUUGUUAUUAAAUUUCAAAGAAGAAUAAAUUAAAAAAACAUUUUUAAUUAAAAUUUAUGUAAUUAAAUAUGGAUAACUAACUUUUGAUAUGUUAUUUCUCAAAAUAAUUUUUUUAGUUUUUUACUAAAUUACUUUUUUAAAAGGUGAAAAUUUUAUUGAAACAUUCUUUUAGGAAGAAUGUUGGCUCCCCGGUAAGAUUUGAGAUAUCUUUAUAACCAUUCAAAAGAUGAAAAAUUUAUUGAAAAAGUUUUUUACUAAAUGACUUAAAUCCACCUUUAAUUUCCACAUUUAUGGGUGGUUUGGUUGGAAAGACAAGAAAAGAAUAAAAGAAAAUUGAAAAGAAAUAUUUAAAUUAAAAUAAAAAAAGAUGUGUGAGAUUCACACAAAAUAUUAAAAAUAAUUCUCUUUUUUUUUUUCAACUUUUUCACAAUCAAACAUACCUUAGUUUUUUGUUUUUGCGUUGUCUUCCAUUGACGUUUCGAGAAGCAACUCCUUUAUUACUUAUACGGUGAACUGCAUUGAAAUUAAUGUUAUUGCAAUUUGAAUGAUAAAAAAACGUAGCAUUAAUGUUAGUAUUUUCAAAAUUUAACAAUUUUAAUAUAUCAUUAUUUUGCCGUUAAUUUUUUAAUAAAAAUUAUUAACGUAAUAUAUUAAUAAUAAGGUGACACUAACAUGUCAACAUAAUAAUUAGUUGGACGCAUAGCUGAUAUAUCAAACUAUGAUGUCAUUUAUCACAGAUUAUUAUGUGAAUGUUACGUCAAUAAUUUUAGUUAUAAAAAAAUUGAAGACGUGAGCACCCAGAUGUUGAAUAAAAUAUUUAAAAUGACAAAAUUGUAGAAUCAUGAAAGAUAUUUUUGAAGCCUUAGGAUGGAGUUCGGAACUGGCGUGUGGCUUUAAAGAAAGAGGGGAUGUAAGACACGUGGCUUCAGCAUCCUCGUCGGUUUGGGUGGCACAAGGCAAUCACCAUUCACGAAUCCCAUACAAUAAAAACCAAACCUAACCUGCAAUGCAUCUUCUUUCCCAAUUAUAUGAAUGAAUGAAUUUUGUUUUCCUUGUCUGAGUUUUGUCGGAAACCAAACCCCGACCAACCUCUCUCCCCCACCUUCGCGUUCUGAUUCAGCUGAGAGUGGUUGGGCUCUGCAAAAAUUAGCUGCAUGAGCUGGUUUGGGAAACUCCGUUUAUUCUCCAAUUUCAAUCCCUUUCACUUCAUUACUUCUUUGUUAAUUUUUACCCUCCAUUUUUCACCCCAAUCGCGCUUUUCCCUCCAACCCCUGUUAUUGAUCCACGCUAAAACCAAUCUCAAUCGUAAUUUCCGGUUUUCGUCACAAUAUGGGGUUCCGAUUCAAGAGUAAUCCGCAAUUACGCAGAGGUUUUUUAAUUGUUCUCCUCCGCGCUGGUUUUUUUUUUUUAUGCCUUUUUUGUUCAACGUGUCUACAGUUUCAGUUUAAAUUGAUUUCGUUUUGUAGAUACCAGUGCAUGGAGUUUUGUUUUUCGAUAUAAUAAUGAUGCAUUAUGACCAAGUUCGUUAUGUAGUACGAAUGAAAGAGUAAUGUGAACACGUGCAUGCGUUUUUGCGUAAUUUGAACUUUGAAAUAGAUCUAGGGUUUGGCUGGUGGGGUCUAACAAUCGAGCUUCUGAAAGUGAUUGGAAAAAUUAGAUUGCAAUCUCUUCGAAUCUAGGUGUGAUGAUGAUGACUUUGGGUAUGUUUGGAUUACCGUUGUUUCAAAAAUGUGUUCAGAAUGCAAGAUACAAAGAGGAUCAUUCUCUAAAAGUACGUGCAACACUCAAAAGUGGGUUCAGAACAGAAUGAUGAGUGUCUGAUUUGUAAAGGGAAAUAUUCUCUUGGGUCAUCCUCCAAAUUAUAAAAACAGAAAGUUAGAAGUGAAAUGUGCUUGUGCCAGCUCGUGUAUCUAGAAUUGUCUUUUUUUCAGAAGUUUUGAUUCUACUUCUUUGUAUCUGCUAAAGUUGACUUGGAUUCCCCCCUCCUGCUUCCUUGUAGGCCUUUGCUGUGCAAAUGAUGACAAGCAGCAGGAGAGGUCCCCAUCUGUUAUUGUCAUUGGAGGUGGCAUGGCUGGGAUUGCUGCUGCUCGUGCUCUUCAAGAUGCCUCAUUUCAGGUAUUAAAGUUUUUUUGUUUUCCCCUCUUGAACAUACAUACUUUUGUACUUGUUAAUUUAUUUAUUUGUAUAAAUUGUACUUUUAUUUGUCAGGUUAUUCUUCUAGAAUCACGAGAAAGACUUGGUGGCCGAAUUCACACUGACUACUCAUUUGGCUUUCCUGUUGACCUGGGUGCAUCGUGGUAAAGCUUACCCUCUUUGUUCUCCUUUUUUUUUCUUCAUGUUGACAAGAAUGUUGCAUUUCUCCAUUUUUUAGUAUUAAAAAUGGAUGACUGUGAUUCAGGUUGCAUGGAGUUUGCAAGGAGAAUCCACUGGCUCCAUUGAUUGGGAAGCUGGGACUACCUCUUUACCGUACUAGUGAGGAUAAUUCUGUCCUUUAUGACCAUGAUUUGGAAAGGUAAAAGUAUCUCUUUUUUAUAUUAAGUGAUAUUAGUUAUCUAUUUCUGCUGUACUUCCAUAAUUAAUUGGUGACUGUAGUGCAUGCUUCAAUUUAUCCUUUGCUUAUACUGAAUGGUAUAUAUUAUCAGAUACAAGUUUUUUCUAAUAGAAAUUCAACAACUUCUUGCAGCUAUGCACUUUUUGAUAUGGAUGGGAAUCAAGUUCCCCAAGAGUUAGUAACAAAAAUUGGUAAAAUAUUUGGAGUAAUUUUAGAAGAGGCGAGUAAUUUAAUAUUUCUAGUUAUUUGGUUUAUCUGAUUGAUUACUCGCUUAUUAAUACAUUGUUUUUUCUGAUUGAGUAAUUUAAUGUUCAACUCCACUUAUUAUGAACAUCACCUCUAAAGAUUGACCCUGCUUUAAUGCAGACAAAUAAUGUACGAGAGGAAUUCAGUGAGGAUAUGUCCAUACUCCGUGCACUUUCAAUUGUUUUUGAAAGAAAACCGGAAUUGAGGUGAUUAUUGGCAUAAAAUAAUCCUUUGAUCACCAUUAUUGAUUUUCUUAGAGCUGAAGUAAUGUAUAAUUUAACUUUCUCUGUUGGAUGCAGGUUGGAAGGGCUUUCCCACAAGGUGCUACAGUGGUAUUUAUGCAGAAUGGAAGGUUGGUUUGCUACAGAUGCUGAUACCAUAUCACUGAAAUGUUGGGAUCAGGUAAUUUGACAAAACCAAGUUUGAGAUGUUUGGGUUCUAUUAUCUAUAUAUCCAUUUCAAGUUUAUGUCAUUGAAACUUGAAUUGCAUGACAAAUCAUUGAUAGGUAGUGGGCUGAUGUGAAUGGGCAACUUUUUCAUUUUCAGCUAUUUAUCGUUGUUGCUUUUAUUCUUGUAUAUACUUAUAAUUGAAUACAAUGUUGCUCGUAAAGUUGCAAACUCAUAGUUAUGCCCUAUAGGUUUGCGUUUGAGAUUAAAUGGUAAUGUGUGCCGCCAUAUUAGAUUUAAAGGAUGCUAUAUGAGAUAGAGAAGUGGCUUCAUAUGGUGAUCAUAGUCACAUUAUGUUGCUACUUUAUUAAUUGCUACAUGCAUCCAUCAACAUUUUUUAUGUAUAACAUAUUCUUCUCUGUUUAUCUGCAUACAGGAAGUAUUGCUCCCUGGUGGUCACGGUCUUAUGGUCAGGGGUUACCAGCCUGUUAUAAAUACCCUAGCCAAGGGUCUUGAUAUUCGCCAGGGACACAGGUAUAUAUUAGUUUAAAGUUUGGUUUUGGAAAUCUGCGUCCCCCGUUGUGUUGCUUAACUAAAUUUAAUGGCACUGAUAAUACCUCUUCUCAGGGUAACAAAAAUAGUUAGGCAAUAUAAUGAAGUAAAGGUGGCAGUGGAAAAUGGGAAAACAUUUGUUGCAGACGCUGCUAUUGUUGCUGUACCUCUUGGGGUGCUGAAGGCAAAGAGCAUAAAAUUUGAGCCAAAGCUACCAGACUGGAAAGAAGCUGCCAUUUCUGAUAUUGGGGUUGGGAUUGAGAAUAAAAUAAUUUUACACUUUAAAAAUGUUUUCUGGCCUAAUGUGGAAUUCUUAGGAGUAGUUGCAGAGACAUCUUAUGGAUGCAGCUACUUUCUUAAUCUCCACAAGGCUACAGGUCGUCCUGUCCUUGUUUACAUGCCUGCUGGGCAGCUGGCCAAAGACAUUGAGAAAAUGUCUGAUGAAGCAGCUGCUAGCUUUGCUUUCAUGCAGCUCAAAAAGAUCCUUCCAGACACUUCUUCACCGGUAACCAUGAUAAUUUUAAUGGUUUAUUUCACUUUUUUACUAUGCAAGAAAAGUAAAUGCUUCAAUUCAUAUUUAUAUAGGUGGCAGACCCCUAAGUUUUACUCAGUUUAGUUCCGGUACAUAUAUUCUUUGACAAUUGCUAUAUGGUUGAAUUGAAUAAGUUGUUUUUCAGUGACUAGUAUGUUGUUGGUGUUUUGAAGAUGUAAUUUGUUUCAAUCAUGCAGAUUCAGUAUCUUGUGUCUCGAUGGGGUACAGAUAUUAAUACACUAGGUUCCUAUAGCUAUGAUGCAGUUGGGAAACCACAUGACCUGUAUGAGAGGCUACGGGUCCCUGUAGAUAAUUUAUUCUUUGCAGGGGAAGCAACAAGUAUGUUGUAUACGGGGUCUGUGCAUGGUGCAUACUCUACUGGAAUGAUGGCUGCUGAGGACUGCAGGAUGCGUGUCCUGGAGCGUUAUGGGGAGCUAGAUUUGGUCCCGCCGGUAAUGGGAGAGGAUGCUUCAGUGAUACCACUCCAGAUCUCUCGUUUGUAAUCUCAGGAGGCUUUAUGCAGCCCCCUUCCGGGUGGCAUCCGUUGUCAAAUGUUGUGUUGAACUUGAGUAGCUGGGAGGUGCUGUGACUCCUAGAGUAUGAAUAAUCUCAUUAGUAACGCAGAAAUGCGUAAUUUGGAAUGACAUGCACUCGCAUUUAGUUAUAUAGUUGCCAAUAAUAUGGUAACGCAUUGGUGUUUUCGUUGUUGUGUUUAAGCUCUACCGUGUUUAGGACUUAUUUUAUCAUUGAAGAACUUUGCACAAUCAUUGUAAGUAGACCGGUAGGACAGUAGGAUAUAUACAUGGAUGUAUGGUUCGUGCCUCAAUUCAUCCAGAACAGUAUAUUUAUCAUACGGAACUCAUCGAUGGUGUGAAGUUUGCUGCUCCCGAUGAUUGGAGUUCCAUUGCAAUCGAAAGUGAUUCCAAAAAGGUAGGUAACAUUAAUAGAAAUGUAACAGAUUGGUCUGAACUAGGUGUUAUUUAUGAGGGCAUAAGAUUAGCAGUCAUUGUUUGAUGAAUGUAUUUCCAACUUUGUUCCUAGGAAAGGAACUAAAUUUGCCCACAAGUUGACAAUGGGCACAAUUCUCGGUUGAAGGUUUGGCUUGGUGUUUAAUUCUUGGUGAUAUACUCUGAUUCUGUUGCUGUUUAAUGAAUUUGAUGUAUAUUUGAAAAAGAAAGAUAAUUAGAGAUAGUAAAACUAACAUAAAAUGGGUUUAAGGAAUUUUAGUUUAAUUGAUGAUCGGAUUUAGCCAAUAAUAAUGCCAUUUUAUCAUCUAACUUAUCUCCAAUUUUUAAUUACUUUUUUGGGCAUUUCAAUUUGAAUGCAUGGAUUUGGUUGGUAUGGUAGGCUAAUUUAACUAACAUUACAAUUCAUUUCACUCAUUUUAUACAGGGCAUAAGCAGAAAGGAAUUACUUGUACAUUAUUUUCUCAACCGUGCAUUUUCAUUUUAUUCUGCAUUAUGCCUAAUACAAGAUUAAUCGGCAGCUAGAAUGCUUUUUAAACCAUGCCUAAAAAAUACAAGAUAAAAGGAAUACUAGUAAGUAAUAACACUUUUUAACACAUUUUUAAUAUAUAUUUUAUAGGUUAAAAUUUAUUAAAAAUUAUAAAAUCGUAAGACUUGUCAAAUAAAGUUUGACAUCGCAAAAUUUUAUAAAUUUGAAUAAAUUUCAGUUAAUGAUAAUAAAUAGUUUGUUUAAAAGAGUACAAGAGUGUGUUCAAAAAAUGUUGUUACAGUGUAUUACUAUUAUUUCUCGAUUCCUCUUGCGUUGACUGCCAGUUGAUCUAUCCGACGUCUCAUUUUCUGCAGCUCUCUUGAUGCGACCAAUACUAAAAAAAAAUAACUUCAUAAAUAAAAAUAAUUUUUUCUAUUAAAAAUCAUAGUAAAAUAGUGUUAUGAGCAAAUUAUUUUUUCACAAAAAUAUUACUUUUAAUUUCUUACUUUUUUUUUUAAUUAGAUUAGUGUUAAUAACACAUUCUUUUAAUUAUUAACUAAAAUUUAUUUAAAAAAUACAAAUUUACGGUUGAUACUCAUUACAUUAGAAAUAAAAUCCAAAAUUUUGUAAAUAAUUACGACUAAUGUGUGUUUGAAUCCACAUUUAACAUGUCGUUUGAGGAUAAAAUGAAUCAAAUAGUUUUUUCAUUGAUCAUGAUGUUUGGUAUUAUAUUAGAAACAUGAAUUAUAAGUUUUAGAGUCAAGUCUCAUUGAAGUUAUGAAAUGAAGCCUUUUUUGUCAAAACUAAGAGUUGUGUUAUUUGUUCAUGUACAUCCUUGUCAUGUUAUUUGUUACAUGUAUAUCCUUAGUCAGACUCAAGAAAUUUUGGUAAUUACGUUCCAAAUCAAUUUUGAUUACAAAUUUUCAAAUAACAUUGUGUGUCAAAAUUAAUUUUCUAAUAUCUAUUAUCAAAACAAAAAUCAUAUUACUGCAAAGUCAUGUUUAGAUAUAAUAAAUUGUAUAAACACAUAUCCAACCACGCAAUAAUAUAUCAAAUAUUUAUGCUGGCAGUGAAAGUUGGGUUUCAUUAUUAGAUUCUCAAAAUUGUGAACAAAACAUAAAAUUAAAUAGGGUGAAGAAACCCAUCAACAACAUUCCUUUAGUCCAAAGCAAGAUUCCUGUGCAGCUAAAAUGCAUUUCAACCAAGCCUGAAGAAAAAACACGAAUGCCUCUAAGUGUCAGCAACCAGUUGAUCUAAGGUGUCAUUUUCAGCGGAUUUAUUGAUGCGAACAACAGCUUUUUCAACCUACAAAGGCAUUAAGAGUUGGUUCAGCACUUCACAUGUGACAAAAAAUUCAUGUAAUGUAACAUGUAUAAGAACUUCUAAUGUAGAGUGUUGAUACCUCUGCUUGCCAAUUUGUUCUGGCAGUCAGAAUUAUUAGAGUUACUGUUUGUAUAAGAACUCCAAGGAUCAUUCCCCACCAAAUUCCCUAAAAAAAUACCACAAAAUGCAUUGCAUGAAACUAAUCAGUUACAAACUUAAAAAUUAGUGACAGAAAUGUUCCAAACUUACAGCAACUCCUAGAGAAGUUUUGAAGCCAAGAACACAUCCAACAGUAAGACCAACAACGUAGUAAGAAGCCAAGUUUACAUAAGCCACUAAUGCUUGCCAUCCACUUCCAAUUGCCACCCCUGAAAUUUUCCAAGAAAAAUUAACAAAAGUGUGAUAAACCAAAGUUGGUGCUUAUUCUAGUGUACUUUUUAUAGCUUUAUUACCUGAUAAUAUAGGUUGAAUGCCAUUAAAGAAAACAGAAAUAGCAAGCAAGGGAGUCAAAUUAGACACAGCAUCAAUGACGUCAGAGUCAGAAGUGAAAAGUUUGCUCAAAGAAACCCGGAAUAUCAAGAUAAUUGUGCAGAAAACCACACUAAUGAGGAUGCUGGUUCCAUUCACUACGAAGACAGAAAAUUUUGCUACUCUUGGAUGUGAUGCUCCUAAUUCGUUGCUGACUCGGACACUGCAAUCAUGGAAACUACCAUUAGCAUGCUUUUGAGAAAGUUUUUUGAAUGUAAAACACAUUGUUUUGUUGCAAACCUGGCUGCUGUACUAAGGCCUAACAUAAAUUGCAUGUCCCAGUUCAAGUAAUUCAUACUGAAAGCACAUUAGGAUAAAGAUAUUAUGGUUAGGCAACACGUUGGCACAUAACAAGAAAAAUUAUUCCAAGACAAAAUUUUAACAUACCAAAUGGAAAUAGAGUCCAGUGAGAUUGUGGGAUUGGAGAGCAGCCCUGAUAAAAGCACCAGCCCCUGAUUGUACCAUACCUCCAAACUACAUUAAGAUACAUUUUUAGAUUAGUAGAACUAAUUGAUGUAAAUAAUAAUGUGGUGUGAUGUGUAUACUUAUGUAGGGUAUGUUUGGAUAAAAGUUGGAAAAGUAAUUUUGAGAUGCACAUUUACGAUUUCCAAUGCACAAAAUGAAGAAUGAAGGUUUUAAUGAUUUGGGAUCACAAGUACUUUUGAGCUCACUCAAUUGAAAUCCAAAUAAAUAUGUACUAAAUAGUCAUGCACUUACUGGUUAAGAUGUUUUUACAUUGUCAUUCAAUUACAAAUUAUGUGUGAAAAGUUUGUUGACUUAUAUAAUAAUCAUUACUUAAAAGUUAUAUCUUCCUUGAUUUCUGAUUUUUUAACUGUGUUUCACAAAGAAAUUAAACUCAUUUAUGUAUGCAUGCAUGUAGAGAAAAUUAUGGGGACAUCGACAUAUAGUCAUACCAUAACAUCACAGCAGAAGCUACUGUGAGCUUGAAAUAAGGCCAAAUUCCUUUGAAAGCCUUAACACUGAAGCCUGCCCAGGUUUCCUUGCAUCUUGGACUAAAUAUGAUGUAGAGACCAUUAAACAAGACAAGAAGCCACCAAGAAAAGCUGAGAGUAAGGGCUGCCCCUUGAAGGCCAUAACCCAAAACAUAUAUAACUAGCCAACUGAGGAGAAUGUGAACAAGGAACACCCCAACUGACAUAUAUGCAAGAGGAUUCACAAUGUUCUGUGCUUGGAGGAACCUCUGCAUUGGACAGCUUAUUGCAAAUGCAUAGAGUUGAAGAAUAAUUCCGCGUGCAAACACUUGGCCUCGCUCGGCUAUGCUAUCUGACUGUCCUAUGGCCUUAAGAAAAUCCCCAGAGAACCAAUAGAGAAAUGAGAGAAUCACUGCUGCUCCAAUGUGUAAGAUGAUUGCUCUUUGCAAUAUGAUGCUCAUUGCUCCAUGCUUUUUUGCCCCAUAUGCUUGUCCACACACAGUUUGCACCGCACUUGCCAUCCCCAGCUAUUUAAGCAAAAUGAAAUCGUCAGAAAUAUGCACAUAAUUGAAAAUGAGACACUUCUUUUAAUAUAUUCUAUGUUAUUUGAUUGAAAUUUAUUGAAAACUACACAGUUAUAAGUGAAACUCAUUAAAUAAGAAGAGUCAGUUAAAUGGUAAGUGCGACUUGUCAAAUUUUAUAAUUUCCAUAUAAGUUAACUAUAUGUAGAAAAAAAAUGGAUCUAGAUCACCAAUGCAGAUUACUUAAGUGAAACUUUAAUUCUAUUAGAGAACAACACUAAAAGUACUUAUGGAACUGCAUUUAAAUUUUAUCUAAUAGAAAAAGAACAACACUAAAAGCACUUACGGAACCGCAUUUAAGUUUUAUCUAAUAGAAAAUGUAUUCAAAAGUGUGUGUUAAGUGGCGCAGAUAAAGAGGCAUACCAUAAUACCAUAAGCUAGACCCUGAAUACCAACACUGGCUACGGAUGCUCCAGCAAGCUCUAGAGACCCCAAAUGUCCAGUGAACAUCAAGGUCACAAAACUUAGCAUAUAAUUGAAAAUGGACACAACAAUAGAAGCCCCAGAGAGGAGCCAGAGAAGCCUUGACUCCCACACAAUAAGCUUUGACCACCAUCUCAAUGCAAUAGGCCUAUGUUCCAAGAAUUCUUCAAUGGCAUCUGAUGACAAGUUUUGAAUGUGUGAGUGUGAAUCAAGCCUGGGUAGUAAAGGUUGGUGCUCCAAAGAGCUCAUGGUUAUUAUGUGCACUGCAAUACAAGUGUCGCAACUAGUUUCAGUGCAUGGAAUGAGGCAUUGCAAAUAACCAAUUAUAUAUGCAUGCAUGUGCACAAGUGGAAUAUUUGCUCCACCGAAGAUUAUGUAGCUAACCUUCCAACAUGUUUUGUUGGCACCUUUCAGUUGUGUUCACGUGCUUCUUGACGUAGAGACAAGUAGAUAAAACUACCUUCAGUUAUUAACCUUUUAUUUUAUCAGCCUUCAGUUAUUAAUUUAUUAUAGGCAUGUCACAUAUGGUAUCUAUAUAUUUUGUACAAAAAAAAAAACAAAAAAGUGGUUGCUGGAUAGCAAUAAAAAUUCAAUUUUUUACACCUUUGAAUGAUUAGUAGGCUGUCACUUGAAAAAUAUGGGUACUGCAAAAAAUAAUAAAAAUGUGAAUUGUUCAAAGUGGGGAAGGAAUGGCCUUGGUAGUGUGAAGCAGCUAAACUAAAAGUCUUCAACCGACUGUUAAAAAAUGAGAAACGUGAAUAAUAGCAUCAUACAUUUUAAAAAAACAUGUUUUUAGUAAAAUAUAAAAGUUUUUUACACCAUUGUCUAAUAAAUCAUUAUUUAUAAUAAAUUUGUUAAAUUUUAAAAUCAUCAUCUAUAAUAAACUGUAUAUUUUCAAUUGAUUGAUAAUGUAUAAAUAAGGUCAGAAUUGUUGCACAAGAAGUGCAAGCAACAAUGCUGCAAAAACUUUCAACUUAACAAUAUAUAUUUAUUAAACUCUUUACAAUUUAUAUAAUGUUCAGUUAAUAAUAAAUAAUGUGUAAACAUUUUAUUGGUAUUUCUCUUUUAGCAAGCAUAUAUCAUCAUUGUUUUCACGAAUUGUCACCUUUCGUAGGCAAUCAACCAUCAUCAUUUUCUCCAUGUCGGUUGUGUUUAAUUGGAGGGGCAUACGGUACGUCGUCUUUUUCAUUUAAUAGGAAAAAUUGGGUGUAUUAUAAUAAUGCUUGUGACGCCAACAUGUUAAUAGAAUGUAUGAAUGUUACCUGAGCUGAGUCAUUGCUUGUGCAUGUGUAAGCAUUGUUAGACAUUGCAAUGGAGAGUGGGAUGGUUAUGAGUAUUGUCUCUCAAUCUCUUAUUCUAACUUCUCAAUAUAUCUUCAUAUUCGUAUUCGAUAUCGGGUUUAAAUUUAUUUUCUCAUUCCUGUACCUAUCCGGUAUCCCCGACCCUGUCCCAUACACGAUUUAAAUUAAAAAAAUAUUUUUUUUAUAAAAAAAAUAUUAAAAGUUUGAUUUUAGAAAAAGAAAGUUAAUUGUUAAACAUUUGUUUUAACUACUUAUAUAUUAAUAAAUUUAUUAUAGCGCAUGUGUCUACAAAAAUAGUUAAGAAAAUAAUAUUAAAUUAUGUAAAAAUUCUAAAAUAAAAUUAACUAGUAAUAAAAAUUUUAUGCCUUUUGAUUAAAUUAUGCAAAAAAAUUUAAAGAUUUUAAGUGGCAGGGCGAGUUCGGGUUUGGGGUCGGGACGAGUCUAGUAACCUCAUACCCAUACCCGUAUCUGACUUUUGAUUAUCGGGAAAAAUCCAAACCCGAACCUAUACCAGGUCAACUCAGGUAUUACCCGUCAAAGUCGAAACGAAUUCGAACGGAUACCUACAAGUAUGAGUUUUCUUGCCAUAUCUAAGCAUUGUUAUUACCAAAAACAAAUUAAUUGUGUUAAUACUGGCUAACACAUUACAGACAAAAAAAAUAUUGAAUUAUUUUAACAAGUUAAUAUUCUUUAAACUUCCAAGAUAUUAACUUAUGACAUAGUAGUAACAAAAAUAUUUUUAAAUUUUUUUUCUCAAAUAAGAGAUAUUUUCCCUCGUUUAUUUCAGAUAAAAAAGUAUAUUUAUAUUGUUCAUGAGUUUAAUUUUCGUGCAUGGUGUUUUGUGAGAGUUAAAAUUUUAUACUAUUAACCAAUAAAAAAAUCUAUGUAUAACUUUUAAAAUAAUUAUUUUAAAAAAUUUAACAAAUAGAGCAUAUAUAAUAAUUCAUUCAUCAUGGAUGAUAAUAUAAAAAAAAAUUAUAAAACAAUAUUUAAGUUAUUUCGAAAAAGUUCAAAGAGAUACAAAAUUUUAUAUAAUUUAAAAAAUAUUUAAUAUUUCAUCAAUCAACUUGAAUUAAUGUAAAAUACAGUUUUCAAAAUAUAAGUAAAUCUUCACCAUAGGAUUACUUGUAUUCACUUUCUAAGAUGUUACAUGCUCGAUCACCGUGAUAUUAUCACACGAUUCAUGAUUCGCAUUUCAUAAGAAAUAGAGAAAACAUAGAAAUCUUACUCGUUUAGUAAAUUGAUCCCUAGUCAAAUAUAUAAUUAUUUGUAUAGAAUAUCUACAUUCUAUAUCGGGAAGUUCUUCGUAAGGUAAAAUAAUUAUUAAGCUGUGCAUAUUACAAAAAAUUAAGCUUAAUCUCAAAUCAAGACUUGAACAUAAACUACUUCUGCCGAAGAAAUAAUGUUUAAAAUUGGAGAUGAAUUCAAAUCACACUAUUAUAAUUACCAUCAUCCAUGUGUUUCAGUAUUCCUUCCAAUUGUCGUUGUUGAAUUGACUAUUUGAUCUUGUAUUCCAAUUUUGAAUACUUCAUUAUAUUUUUUCAAGUUAGGAUGAUGGUAAAUUCUAGGGUGGACCACUUGAUAGGAGGUUGAGUAUGGACCAUGAAUCUUGACCGUUAGAUUAAACUUAGCAUUGCAGAUCAUCUCACACCAAAUCCCCCACCAACCACAAUUCGCCACAGUCAAAAACGAUUUCUGACGACUACAUUUUUGUUUUCUUGCCACUACACUCACUCGCUGACCCCCUUCACCCACAAACAGUUUUCGCAUGUUCAUAAUGUAGCCUUGGUGCCUUCAAUCUUAAAAGGACCAAGCAUUUUUAAGUGUCCCCAAAACGCACCGCACAAUGCUUGUUCUUGUUAUUAUUAUCAUUUUCUAAAAGAAAAACAAAGUUUAUCAAGCCUACUUGGGACCGAUCUACAAUCUAGUAUCUCUCUUUGAAACAAACCAACAAAAAAAAAAUGCUUUAAAUUGGAUCUAAUUCAUGGUGUCUCGUUGGUCAAUCUACCUCCACAGCUUUUUUUAAAGGACAAAUUCAGCGAGAUGGGGUUUUCUGAAACGGUGGGUUCCUCCACCAAAAAUUUCCUCUGGAGGCGAUGCAUGGUGGUGGAUGUCGAGGGAUGAUUGGAAGUAAUUCAAAUCUGGAAAGGAUACAACAUGCUAACAAAAGGAUGCCACUAAUCAGAUUGACCUGACCAUUAAAUUGACAAUGGAGAAGUUGUUCUCUCACUCUCUCGUACUCUCUAUCUCACGGUAGAAGAAGGAGGAGGUGGCAAAAAAAAAAUCAUGGGCGAUGUUGGAGACAGCAAAUAGCGGUUGCUGGGGUGGGGGAUUUGGUUUGGGAUGACUUACGAUACUAAGAUUAAUCUAAUGGUCAAGAUUGAUGGUUCAAACUAGACCCCACCUAUGAAGGUGGCCCCCUGUAGUAAUGGCCUACGAUAAAUGUCUAAAACCAUGAAGGGGAUAUAACAAUAACGCUUGCAAGGGGAUAACAAGUUUCACUAUAAAAUAUAAUAAGAAAUUUACAAGUUUACAGCCAAAAAAAGAGAGUAUGUACAAAUUUCAGAAGACAACAACAGCAUACAAGAUUACAAGUCAUGUUGAAGGCUCUCGGAAAGAUUGAAUCAACGCCAUCUAAUUUAAAAAAAAAUGCUCAAUCUACAAAACUUCUCCAAGAGCGUUUGCCAAUUAAAUCAACUGGCUCGGGUAUCCUAUUUUAAUUCAUUUGAAAGUACAAAAAAAUUACUUAUUUAAUAAAUCAGAUAGCAAUUUCUGUUGAUCUUUACCUAGCCCAGAGAACCACUUCCUCAAAGUUUCAGCAUUGUCAGAAACAGACUUAGAAUAUGCUGAAAGAUGGAUUUUAGUAUGAAAAAGGGUUUCAAAAUCAAGAGGAAGAAGGUCAAACAGAGUAGUGGCCGCGGCAACUUGAAGAGAAAGACCUGCUUUCAUGGAAGAGGUUCGGCAAAAAUAAGUAUACAAAUAACAUCUCAGGUUUCCAACUCCGUUAUCUUCAUAUCCACCAACAUCCACUCCAGUCCUGAAAUUUAUAACAUCAUUUAUCACUUUGUUAGAACACAAGCAAAAAUAUGUAAAAGCAUCUUUCUUUGUUAAAUCAAAUAAUAUUUAAUAGUCUACAUGUGUCCAUGGCAGUAUGGCUUUUUCACAGAUAUGUGAUCAACAAAGAAACAGCUGUACAGUAAAAGUUAAUGAGGAAAAUGAAGCUAUCACCAUACAAAGAUUCUGAGGGUAGGUGCUACCAAAAAAGCAGAAUGAGUUGUGGCAUAAAUUGGAUAGAUAUCCAGUAGUAGUUAGGUGUCCCUUAGUGAGAGAGUUAGUUAUGUUAGUUGGGCAGGCUGAGACAGUAGAAGAAAUAAGGCAUAUUGCCAAUAAAUAAAGAGGGGGGUUGAGAAAGAAAUUAUCUUAUCAUUUGAAAAAGGAUAAGACUCUUAGAGAGUGAGGAUAGUUCUAUUCUCUCGAUAUCCAGGGAAAUCACUCAUUUUUGUAUCUUUUAACCCUAGCCUAAGGCUUCUACCACACUAGCACAGCAAUUGGGAUUUAGAGUUCAAUAAAAAAUUAAAAAUCAUUAUUUCCUUAAGAUGACUCUAAAUCUUAGUUGUAAGUGAUUUUUAAUCUAGAUAAGCAUACAUAUAUCCUCUAUUGAUACAAAGUUACAAACAUAUGCAUAUAUCAUUAUGCAUGAAUGAUUGGUCAUGAUCUAGCAAUAUCAAAGAAGCAGCGAUCAAUUUACCUCCCAAGUUGACCUAGAAGAACAAUUAUACGAACAGCAAAGUUCUCCUCUACACAUGAGUCGAGUAAAUUCAGAAGCUGAGGAACAAGUUUCAUAUCAACCCAGUGCCAGCUCUGUAUUAGGAAAAGGAAACAUGCAAUCAGGUUUGAUAAUGAUGACAUCAACAAAAUAAAGUGACAAGUUAUUCCACGAGUAUGAGAAGUUGAGAACAGUAUAACUCUCAACCAUACAAAAACUUGGGCCUUGGCAACAAAUCACUUAUUUCAGUAAAUGAUGGAAAAUACCACGAGUGAAAUCACUUUCAAGAACUAUACCAUGGCCAAUUUCAUUUACAAUUCUAUUAAUUUCAGUAUGGCAUCAAUUCUAAAAAAAGAUAAUGUCACUUAUUUUAGGAGAAUUACUCUUUAAUUUUAGAACUUGAUAAAAAGAAAUUAUAGAACAGGGUCAAUAUUAACUUGAAAUGAUGAGAAUAAUACCAUUUUGUUUGCAACCAGUUCCACCAAUGACAGGACAUCAUUCAGGCGACAAAAGUUGACAUUCAUAAGGGCAUCUGGUUGAGUAGCAGAAAUCAAGCAUUUUUUCAAACAGGGCACAUCACAGUUCUUGCUAAUGGCACAUUGAACUGCACCCUGAUUAUACCAUUGUCUGUCAUUAUAAUUGUCUGACAUUAAUCCAGAAUCUGACAAAUUUAUUCGCUUUAUCUCUUCCAAGAGCAAACACACAACUGCAUCAAUGGAUUCGGCACCUUCCGAGAAUGGGCAUUUAACAUUCAUACACAACUCAGCAUGCAGCUGAUUUAUUGAAGGAAGACAAGCAGAUGCAACAGAUGGGCUCUCAUCCUCAAGAAACAUAAUUAGAGAUUUCAAAACAGUCACCAUUAAUCCAAAAUUAUCGAUGUUAAAAAACUUCUCUCCACCCAGAUAAGCAAAAAUAUGGAGAAUAGUCAGCACCAUCAGGGAAUCCCACUUGCAUGACUGAAGAAUAUGAUAUGAAGCAUCACAAAUAAAUCCAACAUAAUCAGUCGCCGCACAUACUGACGCUAAUAUAAUACUUGCUGCCACCAAUUGUUCACUUGAAGCUACAUUGGAUGAUACUUCAUUAACACAAUCCAGAAAAUCAUUGGCUCUCAAAUCACAAGACAAAGUUUCAGCAUCUACUCCACUGUUUACUAUUACUUUUCCCUCAAUAAGAAAAUCUUCAAUGAGGCUAAGCAGCUCGUGCAAAGAAUAAUUCUCUACAAACAGGAUUCUUGUCUCUGCAACAGACAUAACUGGGGAAAAAGAUGUGAAAUUUUGUCAAAUUAAAAUCAAAUUUAAAUAACAUGAUAUUAAUAUUAUUAUAUAACUAAAAACAUUAUUUUAAAUUUUAAUGUUCAGAAAUGGAAGUUGAUUAUGAAACAAAUUAGCAAACCUGUACAAAUAUGUUCAGAAUAAGAUUGCAAGCAGUGGAAUAAAUUUCCAUCCCAGAGUUUUCCAAAUGUCUUUGAUGCAGUCAUGGCAAAGUUGAACAGCAUAAGUGUUAACAGCACCGAAACCUUCUCCCUGAAAGAAAUUAGAAGAAACAAAUUAAUAAAAUUAAUAUCAACACCACCAUUUGAUCACAGUUAAAUAUUAUCAUGAACUGAUUUGUUUGUUAUUACAAGAAAAGCAAAAUAUUGAAACAAAAACUAUAAAGGGUGUUCAACAGCAUUGACCCUAUACUAUCACAAAAUGUGAGACACUUACUUCUGUGAGAGCUUUUCUUCCAUUUUAAGUACAGUCAGAAUGUUACUAACCCCCCAGCCUGUUUGAGUAGCCAAAUUGCACCGAGCUAUACAAUUUUUUGUAGCAACAAGUAUUCUAGAUAUGAUACUAUUGUCCUCCAUAUUUGAAAAGACAACACAAAAUCCAGGAAGUUGAUUGUUUAAAGAUCCAAUUCCAUCCUCCACUGAAAAAGCAGUCCUUGACUUUUCUGUAGUGUGCAUAUGUAAAUUACAAGAAACUCCAUAAUCAUCACAUUUUUGUUCGUUAGAAUUGAUUUCAACAUUAAUUACAUCGAAGUAAGGUGAAGUAAACAGGUCUGUUCUUGAUCUCAACAUGUCAUCUUGGAGUGCUUCCUCUAGAGAGGUAUUCGUCAAAUUACCCUCUUCAAAUGUUUCACGAAAUUCAAUUUCAGGAAGAGAUGGAGAAAUGGGAAAAUCCAUUGCUUUUCUAUAGCAUUCCUCACUGGUAGCAUCUUCUAAUUCUAAUAAUUUCAUAUAAUUUCCAUCAGGCACAGUAUCAAAAUUAUUCACAGCAUCGCAUAUCCUAUCCCCAUAUGCUUGAGAGGUUUCUAAAGUAUGUGGAGCAGGGCAGGAAGUGUGUCUACAGACAUUUGCAUCAUCAUAGACCUCAGUGCCGGCCUCUUCUGUGCCCUUUUGCUCGUCCCUGUUAACCAAAGGUAUCAUGUCCACUUUUUCCCUACGAUAUUUCUUUCUCUUUUUGUGGGCCCUUUUAUUCUCUUCCUGUAAAUUAUUGAGAUUAUGAAGCACCUCUUUUCCUCCGUCUAAGCAUUUGCCAACUUUUAUAUGCAUCAAACCAUGCAAAUCAGAGAGUUUCUCAGAAGAUAAAUUUGCAUCAUGUUCAACUGUGUCCUGCGUUCUUUUCCUCUUCCUGUGGUGCACAUCAACAGGUUUGUCAGAUGGCUUGAAGUCCUGAGUCAAUUUUGCUGAUGCAGUAACUGGGAAAAUGGUUGCAUCCUGUGAGCCCAUUAACUGUCCAUCAGAAAAAGAUUCUGUACUGGAAUUUACUGCAGAACUCUGUAUCUUUGUUCUGUCGGAUCCUCUAACAAGAGGCUCUAAUUUAGAACCAAUACCUGUGAUAGAUUUUUCAGAGUAAUUUCCACCUGGAGUGAGGAGUUGAGUGUUCUGCAUGUUUUCCCUCAAUGGAUCACUUGCCUCAAUUGUUGUGCAGCAGGGUUCCAGAAGCUCAUUCUCAAAUUGGCGACAUGUCUCAGACAAAUUUAGAUUGCAAAUUUGUCUCAUGACAUUUGAAUUCUGCAUAUCUAGUAUAUUCUCAAACUGCAAACCAAUCAUUCAACAAAGAUAAAAAAAAAUAGUUAAGUUGUGCAUACACAAGAAAAACAUACAAUAAAAAGAGAAACAAAAAAAAAGAAAUUAAAAAAUAUAUUUAAUUAUAUGAACUCUGACCUAAAACCAAAUCCUCUCUGCAAACAAAAAAAUCUUUAAUUCCUUCCUCUCCCACACCCCCAAAAAGAUAAAACUAUAACCAAGUACUAUCUAUAACUACUAAACAAUUAUUUAGUACUGAUAUAUAAUAAAAACCACCCAAAUAAUUAUUUAUUGCUUUCAGAGGAUCCUGAAAGUUCCCAUUUCCCAAGGUCAAAUAAACUGUUAGUGCUACAGCUAAUAUGAUGAUAAACCCAAAGAUUGCAAUAAUUUAGGGGACAACCAACCAACAAGUUCAUAACCACUUGUCCAUAACAUAAGUAGUCUCACUUUAAUCUGCAUAUGAGAGUAAGCCAGAAUGAGAUCAUUGGCUUCAAAAGUGUGCAUGAUUUCAACAGGGAGAGGAGAUAAAAAAUGACAAAAAUACUCAAACAUUAUAUAUAACUACAAACAAUUUGUCAGUGAAACCAACCUUUGUUUGGCCAUGCAUACUUCCAACGACAGGUGAAAAGGAUGCAUCCAGUAUAUCAAGGCGUUGUAGAAAUUGAAUGAAAUUCAUCUUUAGAUGACCUAAAUCAUGCCGUAAAAUACCAUAACGACUUGCUUCUAACUUAUAUUUUUGCCUGGUAUGUUUUGCUCUUAGCUUUUCCAGCUUAAGUUUGUUUUUCAAAAGCUUCACUUCUGUACUUUCAGCAUUGGCCUUGCUGUCAGCAGCCAUUUCCACAGGUUUUGUCAAGGAUGAGAGUUCAUGGAUCUUCCGUUUCAAAUCCUCAAUAGCCAGCUUAUCCUCUUCUAACUGCUGAGACAUCUGAUCAGCAAGACAUUUCUCUUUCAUGAACUUGUUCCAGUUAUCCUCAGCAAGUGCCUUCUGCUCCUUUAAUUUAACCAUCUCUGCAUCUGCACGCCUUUUUUCCUCAUCGACCUUUUGUUUUUCAACCUCUAACCUUUCAUUUGCUUUUGCCAUCCCUGACUCAGCAUUUAUUUUCUCAGCUAAUAGUUUGCGCUUUUCAGCUUCAAACUUUUUGGUUGCCUCUCUAAAUGUAGAAAUCUCAAACGCCAACUUUGUUUUUGCUUCAUUUACCUGUUUCUCCAAUUGACCAAUCUGAAAACUAUACUUCACUGCCUUCUCCGCUUCAAUUCUGGCCAUCUCCCCCUUUACAGAAGCCUUUUUCUUCUCUUCUUCUAGUAACUUGCAAGCUUCAGCAGCUUUCUUGCUCUCAGAAUCAACCCUUCUUUUCUUCUCCUCUAUAAGCCCCUUCAAUCUACCAAUUUCCUUUUCCUUUUCAGCAACCUUUUUCUUCUCUUCUCCAAGUAACUUGCAAACAUCAGUGUCUUCCUUCCUCUCAGAAUCAUCCUUUCUCUUCUCCACCUCUAUAAGCUCCUUCAAUCUACUCAUUUCCUUCUCCUUUUCCGCAGCCUUAUUCUUCUCAUCCCCUACCAUCUUGCAAGCUUCAGCAGCUUUCUUGCUCUCGGAAUCAGCCCUUCUCUUCUCUGCCUCUAUAAGCCUCUUCAAUCCACUGAUUUCCUUUUCCUUUUCAACAACCUUAUUCUUCUCAUUCUCUAGUAACUUGCAAGCUUCAGCAGCCUUCUUCCUCUCAGAAUCAGCCCUUCCCUUCUCCACUUCUAUAAGCCUCUUCAAUCCACCGAUUUCCUUUUCCUUUUCAACAACCUUAUUCUUCUCAUUCUCUAGUAACUUACAAGCUUCAGCAGCCUUCUUCCUCUCAGAAUCAGCCCUUCCCUUCUCCACUUCUGUAAGCUCCUUCAGUCUACCAAUUUCCUUUUCCCAAUCAGCUUGUAAGGUCCCAUUCUCAUUUCCACCACCGCCAUGUCCCAGCUCUGUUAUGGGAGUACCAAUCUGAGACUCCAAGCUGCAAUUUUCACUCUCUAAAGGUGCCCUAGAAGCAACAAAUUCUCCUAAUUUUUCCUCUCUUUCCACUUUGACCCCACAUACUGCAGAGAAUAACAUCAAAUCAAUCACAUUACUAGCAUAUUCAUUAUUCACUCAACUAAACCAAUUGCAUACGCAUACUGUGAACAUAACCAAAUAUUCAUUAUAUAAUACCCCAAAACUUAACAAAAAAAAAUAAAGAGUUAGUUACCUUUGUUGUAGCGGGACUGGAUUUCGUUAAUUUUUUGUUCAAGAACCUUGACGGCUUGUCGCAGAGCAUUCCGCGAUUCUUGGGUCUUCAAGUAUUUCUUCUUCCACUGCGUAUGAGAAAUAAGAGAAAGAGAACACAUAAAUGAUUAAAAUCAAAAAGUGAAGUAGAAAAGGAAAAUGGAAGUGAGUGAAAGAGAGAGGUUUUUUACGAGUUCACAGCAGGGGUUUGUGGAGUCAGAUUUGGGAGUCUGAUCUCGAUUCGUUGGCAAUGCCAUGUUGUUCGCAAUGCAGUGAAUGAGUAACAGAUUCGCUUCACGAGACGGAAGAAGAGUCAGUGACGACGGUAACAGAGUAAACCCUAAACCCCAUAGCAACAGAACAGAAGGCAGCGCCACUUCAGUGUUGAAUUCGAAACGAAGGGUUGAAUUCACCCACCAUAGUGUGAUUUUUGGUUUACAAUUUUAUUUAUUUUUAGUUAGAUAGUGUGUUUUUUUUUUUUAUCACAAUAUUAGUUAAUUAGCAUGCUAGAUGUGUCUUUUAGGAUUUAUUUAACUAAAUUGUUGUGACUGAGUAAAUAAAAUCACUAUAAUUUAUGAUGAUGAAAUUAUAUUGACCGUUCGAUGAUUGUGUUUAUUAUAUUAAUUAAGCUUUGUAAGAGUUAAUAUAACAAUAACAGUCAAAAUAAUACAUUAAAUUGAAAGAAAUAAAAAUAAUAGAAAUAAAAAUAUUCAUUAAUUUGAGUGGAUUGAAAAUGAACAAAAACUUAUUUAAUCCAGAUUUUUUUAUAAAUUUUAUGUAAUAGGUUGUUUCCACAUUAAAUUUAUUGUAAGUUAAACCAAAUUUAUAAAGUUUAAUUUAGCAUAGCAUCUAUGCUUCACAUGUUGUCUCAAUGAAAUUUUUAGAUGAUGAUUUGAAAAUGUUGAUAAAAUAAAUGUUUGAAAUAAUCAUUGGUUGAAAGAUAAGGACCAUUUUUUAAUUUCAAGUUCUUGAAGGUUUGAAACAAUUGUUUGUUAGUUAUCUCAUUGUUGAGGCAGAGGUUAAUGCACCUCUUCUUAUUCUUAAGUGGAUUGAUUUUUUGAAGUCACAAAAUAUGGUUAUUAAAUUAGAUUGAAAGCAAUCGAUUCAUGUUCUAUCUCAUAUAAGUCCUAAGUUCGGUUCAUGUUCAAGUCUCUUUUGGGAGAGUGUCUAGAUUUUAUGCUAAUCACCAAAAUUUUGAGUAUUUAUCAUCUUAUAUUGAUUUUAUAAUUACGAGUGAAAUAACAUAAACCUCUUUUUUAUAAAAAAAAAAAGUACAAUUAAUUUUUUUAGUAUAAAUUCAUUAUCACGUAUUCAUUAGUUAACAGAUAUAUCUC
Molecule: long non-coding RNA, 38775 nt
Filed under: Glycine max (soybean)
Lineage: Eukaryota; Viridiplantae; Streptophyta; Magnoliopsida; Fabales; Fabaceae
Description: long non-coding RNA (GMAX_LNC003092)
Rfam family: MIR1520 microRNA precursor family (bases 6995-7114)
Source: RNAcentral